CUUGCGGGGCGGUGCAAGCUGGCGGAACCCGCGUGAGCGGGUAGAGACAGGGUUUCACCAUGUUAGCCAGGAUGGUCUCCAUCUCCGGACCUGGUGAUCCACCCACCUCAGCCUCCCAAAGUGCUGGGAUUACAGGCGUGAGCCACCGCGCCCGGCCACUUAUGUGUUAAUUUAUAAGUAUGUUUUGUCAAUUGAGAGUGCUGAAGAGAUACGAGAAUAUGUUACUGAUCUCCUCCAGGGAAAUGAAGGCAAAAAAGGUCAAUUCAUAGAAGAACUUAUAACCAAAUGGCAAAAGAAUGAUCAGGAGUUGAUUUCUGAUCCUUUGCAGCAGUGCUUCAAAAAAGAUGAAAUUUUAGAUGGGCAGAAAUCAGGUGACCAUCUAAAGCGGGGUAGGAAGAAAGGGAGAAACAGACAGGAAGUUCCUGCAUUUACGGAACCUGACACGACUGCAGAGGUUAAAACACCUUUUGAUUUGGCCAAGGCACAAGAGAACAGCAACUCCGUAAAAAAGAAGACAAAGUUUGUCAAUUUAUACACAAGAGAGGGACAGGACAGGCUUGCAGUCCUGCUCCCUGGUCGCCACCCUUGUGAUUGCCUGGGCCAGAAGCACAAGCUCAUCAAUAACUGUCUGAUCUG
RNAcentral lists this small RNA (636 nucleotides) under Pongo abelii (Sumatran orangutan). RNAcentral's name for it is "processed transcript". The record is from RNAcentral. Lineage: Eukaryota; Metazoa; Chordata; Mammalia; Primates; Hominidae.